Molecule: unclassified non-coding RNA, 397 nt
Filed under: Hevea brasiliensis (rubber tree)
Lineage: Eukaryota; Viridiplantae; Streptophyta; Magnoliopsida; Malpighiales; Euphorbiaceae
Source: RNAcentral
GUAAAUUAUUAUCAAAUCCGCGAGGGAGUGGAAAUGACGGAAAUAAAAUCGGAGUACAUGGAAGCAGGUCACCAUCAGGCCCAUCAGCUCACAGUAACACUGAACCAACAGGCACAACUACAGCCAACAAGCCCAAAACAUCAGCACUCAGCUAUACCACAAUCUCAAGGAAACCAGUAUGCAGUGAGACCGGCGUACUCUAAAUGCGCCGAACACCCUUAUGGUGGACCACGUAAUCGCAGCAUAUACUGGAGGGGAAAUCCUUGAUCAUUAUUCUAUGUGAAGUGAAUUAUUAAUAGUCAUUCAAUGUCAUCGUGAAGCAUGCAAAUAUGCAAUCUUUGCAACAAAUCACAAUUCUGUACUUCUCCAUCUAGCAUACUAAUAUGACUUAAUUAUU